AAGAAACUCCAGAGCCUACUCCAAGAUGCUUGUGGUCCUGCUGACAGUGGCCUUGCUGGCCCUGAGUUCAGCUCAGAGCUCAAGUGAAGUUCUCGUCCACUGCUGAGAGAUGGCUCCCAAGUGAAAAGUGAAAUGAGAAAAUAACAUUCAAAAGUUAUGUCACUCAAGCUGUGGAUGGUGCUGUGCAUUUUUCAUCCCAACACUCAAGACUAAAUUC
Molecule: long non-coding RNA, 217 nt
Organism: Microtus oregoni (creeping vole)
Lineage: Eukaryota; Metazoa; Chordata; Mammalia; Rodentia; Cricetidae
Exons: 3
Source: RefSeq, a predicted model, not a curated record